AGCGAACGCUAGCGGCGGGCCUAACACAUGCAAGUCGAACGCGUACCUUCGGGUACGAGUGGCGAACGGGUGAGUAACACGUAGGUAUCUGCCUUUCGGUGGGGGAUAACCCGGGGAAACUCGGGCUAAUACCGCAUAUGGUCUACGGAUCAAAGCCUUCGGGCGCCGGAAGAUGAGCCUGCGGCCCAUUAUUUAAUCCUAGUUGGCGGGGUAACGGCCCACCAAGGGUACGAUGGGUAGCUGGUCUGAGAGGAUGAUCAGCCACACUGGAACUGAGACACGGUCCAGACUCCUACGGGAGGCAG
This 305-nucleotide ribosomal RNA is filed under the name uncultured Pseudomonadota bacterium. Its description in RNAcentral is "bacterial SSU rRNA". It matches the Rfam family "Bacterial small subunit ribosomal RNA", at positions 29 to 351 of the family's 1533-position model. The record is from RNAcentral. Lineage: Bacteria; Pseudomonadati; Pseudomonadota.